AGAGUUUGAUCAUGGCUCAGAACUAACGCUGGCGGCGUGGCUUAGGCAUGCAAGUCGAACGAUCCCCGCAAGGGGAUAGUGGCGCAAGGGUGAGUAAUACAUGGGUGAUUUACCCUCAAAUUGGGGAUAACUCUGCGAAAGCGGAGCUAAUACCGAAUAAUAUUAUACGGUUCGCCGUAUGAUCAAAGAUGGCCUCUAUUUAUAAGCUAUCGUUUGUGGAUAAGCCCAUGCUCUAUCAGCUUGUUGGUGAGGUAAUGGCUCACCAAGGCAAUGACGGAUAGCCGGUCUGAGAGGAUGUACGGCCACACUGGAACUGAGAUACUGUCCAGACUCCUACGGGAGGCUGCAGUCGAGAAUCUUUUGCAAUGGGCGAAAGCCUGACAAAGCAACGCCGCGUGAGCGAUGAAAGUUUUCGGAUUGUAAAGCUCUGUCACCUGGAACGAAAAGUCUAAUGCUAAUAUCAUUGGACCUUGACGGUACCAGGAGAGGAAGCCCCGGCUAACUCCGUGCCAGCAGCCGCGGUAAUACGGAGGGGGCAAGCGUUGUUCGGAUUUACUGGGCGUAAAGGAUGCGUAGGUGGUUAUAACAGUCGGAUGUGAAAGCCCUCGGCUCAACCGAGGAAUUGCAUUCGAAACUAUAUAGCUAGAGUAUGGAGGGAGAGAGUGGAAUUCUCAGUGUAGCGGUGAAAUGCGUAGAUAUUGAGAAGAACACCAGUGGCGAAAGCGGCUCUCUACUCUGAUACUGACACUGAGGCAUGACAGUUAGGGGAGCGAACAGGGUUAGAUACCCUGGUAGUCCUAACAGUAAACGAUGUGCACUAGGUGUAGGUGGUAUCGACCCCACCUGUGCCGAAGCUAACGCAUUAAGUGCACCGCCUGGGGAGUACGGUCGCAAGAUUAAAACUCAAAGGAAUUGACGGGGGCCCGCACAAGCGGUGGAGCAUGUGGUUUAAUACGACGCAACGCGUAGAACCUUACCAGGGCUUGACAUGUACAUGAAAUUUUUGUGAAAGCAGAAGCCUCCUUCGGGACAUGUACACAGGUGUUGCAUGGCUGUCGUCAGCUCGUGUCGUGAGAUGUUGGGUUAAGUCCCGCAACGAGCGCAACCCUCGUUCAUAGUUACCAUCAUUAAGUUGGGGACUCUAUGGAGACUGCCCCGGUUAACGGGGAGGAAGGUGAGGAUGACGUCAAGUCAUUAUGGCCCUUACGCCCUGGGCUACACACGUGCUACAAUGGCCGGUACAAUGGGACGCCAAACCGUAAGGUGGAGCAAAUCCCUUAAAACCGGCCCCAGUUCAGAUUGAGGGCUGCAACUCGCCCUCAUGAAGUUGGAAUCGCUAGUAAUGGCGGAUCAGCUACGCCGCCGUGAAUACGUUCCCGGGCCUUGUACACACCGCCCGUCACACCACGAGAGUCGAUUGUACCCGAAGUCAUUUUAGCUAACCUGUAAAGGAAGCGGAUGCCGAAGGUAUGGUUGGCGAUUAGGGUGAAGUCGUAACAAGGUA
This 1504-nucleotide ribosomal RNA is filed under the name metagenome. RNAcentral's name for it is "bacterial SSU rRNA". It matches the Rfam family "Bacterial small subunit ribosomal RNA". The record is from RNAcentral.